GACGGAGGAUGCAAGCGUUAUCCGGAAUGAUUGGGCGUAAAGCGUCCGCAGGUGGCAGUUCAAGUCUGCUGUCAAAGACCGGGGCUUAACUUCGGAAAGGCAGUGGAAACUGAACAGCUAGAGUAUGGUAGGGGCAGAGGGAAUUCCUGGUGUAGCGGUGAAAUGCGUAGAUAUCAAGAGGAACACCUGAGGUGAAGACGGGUUGCUGGGCCAACACUGACGCUGAUGCGCGAAAGCCAGGGGAGCAAACGGG
RNAcentral lists this ribosomal RNA (253 nucleotides) under uncultured bacterium. RNAcentral describes it as "partial 16S ribosomal RNA". It matches the Rfam family "Bacterial small subunit ribosomal RNA", at positions 524 to 776 of the family's 1533-position model. The record is from RNAcentral.